UGCAUUGGCCGGGAAUCGAGCCCAGCCCGCGCGCGUGGCAGGCGAGCAUUCUACCACUGAACCACCGAUGC
Cordylochernes scorpioides is the source of this 71-nucleotide non-coding RNA. Lineage: Eukaryota; Metazoa; Arthropoda; Arachnida; Pseudoscorpiones; Chernetidae. The record is from the annotation of a GenBank genome assembly.